GGCCCUUUCGGGGGUACUCGAGCGGCGAACGGGUGAGUAACACGUGAGUAAUCUGCCCUUGGCUUUGGGAUAACCACCGGAAACGGUGGCUAAUACCGGAUAUGACGGGCUCCGGCAUCGGGGUUCGUGGAAAGUUUUUUCGGCCAGGGAUGUGCUCGCGGCCUAUCAGCUUGUUGGUGGGGUAAUGGCCUACCAAGGCUUCGACGGGUAGCCGGCCUGAGAGGGUGACCGGCCACACUGGGACUGAGACACGGCCCAGACUCCUACGGGAGGCAGCAGUGGGGAAUAUUGGACAAUGGGCGGAAGCCUGAUCCAGCAACGCCGCGUGAGGGAUGACGGCCUUCGGGUUGUAAACCUCUUUCAGUACCGACGAAGCGCCGAUGAUGGUGGUGACGGUAGGUACAGAAGAAGCACCGGCCAACUACGUG
RNAcentral lists this ribosomal RNA (428 nucleotides) under uncultured bacterium. Its description in RNAcentral is "bacterial SSU rRNA". It matches the Rfam family "Bacterial small subunit ribosomal RNA", at positions 73 to 507 of the family's 1533-position model. The record is from RNAcentral.